GUGCUCACUUUAUACCAACUACUGAAAGUGGAAUGAUACAGAGAAGGUUAGCAUGGCUCCUGGGCGAGUAUGACAUGCAAAUUUGUUUUU
RNAcentral lists this small nuclear RNA (90 nucleotides) under Castor canadensis (American beaver). The record is from RNAcentral. Lineage: Eukaryota; Metazoa; Chordata; Mammalia; Rodentia; Castoridae.